RNAcentral lists this ribosomal RNA (256 nucleotides) under uncultured archaeon. RNAcentral's name for it is "partial 16S ribosomal RNA". It matches the Rfam family "Bacterial small subunit ribosomal RNA", at positions 521 to 776 of the family's 1533-position model. The record is from RNAcentral.
UAAUACGGAGGGUGCGAGCGUUGUCCGGAAUCAUUGGGCGUAAAGGGCGCGUAGGUGGCCCGGUCAGUCAGUGGUGAAAGCGCGGGGCUCAACCCCGCGUCGGCCAUUGAUACUGCUGGGCUUGAGCACUGUAGAGGCAGGCGGAAUUCCGGGUGUAGCGGUGGAAUGCGUAGAGAUCCGGAAGAACACCGGUGGCGAAGGCGGCCUGCUGGGCAGUUGCUGACACUGAGGCGCGACAGCGUGGGGAGCAAACAGG